RNAcentral lists this unclassified non-coding RNA (253 nucleotides) under uncultured Flavobacteriaceae bacterium. RNAcentral describes it as "contains 16S-23S intergenic spacer region". It matches the Rfam family "Bacterial small subunit ribosomal RNA", at positions 524 to 776 of the family's 1533-position model. Lineage: Bacteria; Pseudomonadati; Bacteroidota; Flavobacteriia; Flavobacteriales; Flavobacteriaceae. The record is from RNAcentral.
CACGUAGGGACCGAGCGUUGUCCGGAAUCAUUGGGUUUAAGGGGUCCGUAGGCGGGUUAAUAAGUCAGUGGUGAAAGUCUGCAGCUCAACUGUAGAAUUGCCAUUGAUACUGUUAACCUUGAGUAAUUAUGAAGUGGUUAGAAUAUGUAGUGUAGCGGUGAAGUGCAUAGAUAUUACAUAGAAUACCGAUUGCGAAGGCAGAUCACUAAUAAUUUACUGACGCUGAGGGACGAAAGCGUAGGUAGCGAACAGG